Zingiber officinale is the source of this 899-nucleotide long non-coding RNA. RefSeq lists it as uncharacterized. Lineage: Eukaryota; Viridiplantae; Streptophyta; Magnoliopsida; Zingiberales; Zingiberaceae. The transcript is spliced from 4 exons. The record is from RefSeq and is a predicted model, not a curated record.
GUUUCCCUCUUCCCUCGCGCCUUCUCUUCUCCCGCUCGCGGCCGGCUUGCCCUAACCGCCGCAGCGGUUUCUUCUCCUCUCCUUUUAUUUCUUUCUCUUUUCCCUCCCAAGCCACACCACCGACGCCCUCUUCCUCUCGCAUCUCCCGAUCACCACGGCCGACGCCGGCAGAAAAGAGCAACGCCGAGCCCUAGCCUCUCAGCAGUCCCUGAGCCGAUCGCCAGCACCUGAGCCCUCGCCUCUGUCUGACUUCCCCUCUUCCUGAAUCGUCGCUGUGUAGGUGGAUCUCUGUUCUUACCUUCGUAGGCAAGGACACGUUAUGCCCUAGCAGUGUCACCGACCCUGCCCUAUGCCCUAGCACCGCUGUCGUGCCACAACCAAUCCACCACCGGCGCACCCGUGCCCUAGCACUGUCGCCGGAUCCUUGAUCACCGCUGACGAGUGGAGAGGAAGUGACUAGUUAGUGGAUUCCUGCUCAAGCAGCAACCUCUGUUUCCAGCAGAAUCUUGGUCCAGCAGCCGUAAGGGUUUUGACGCGAGAUGAGCAUCUCGACAUCCUAGUUGGACCGGAUUGGACCUUUCGAUUGGAGGCGGGUUGAUGCUGUCCGGAGAGUUCCAGUCGCUAGUUCCCUGAACACCCAGAGUUAUUUGAUCUUUUUGUUAUGUCUCUUAUUGCACUAUCUGGACUUGUAUUAGUUUACCUUAUGGAUAUUGUCGAUGAACUUUAUUUGAAUUUGUUUUACUACAUGUCUGCCUAGACGGCAGAAGAGGUAAGUUGAUUUUAUCGUCGGAUUUGAGCUUUAUGAGUGUAGUGGAGUAGGACAUCAGUUUGUGCUUUAUGAGUGUAGUUAAGUAGGGUUGUUUUUUAGUAUUCUUAUUACUAUUCUAGUUUGUCAACUA